Molecule: non-coding RNA, 807 nt
Organism: Pelobates cultripes (western spadefoot toad)
Lineage: Eukaryota; Metazoa; Chordata; Amphibia; Anura; Pelobatidae
Source: the annotation of a GenBank genome assembly
GUUAUAUUUAACUGCCAUAUGGGUUGUGAGCCAUAGAGAAGGACAACUGUCAUGUCUUGCUCUACUUUUUAAUUGUAUUCCCAUUAUUUAUACCUGUUUCUACUGCCAGAAGAUUGCGUUAUGCUACAUGCCACCUGGAAUGCAAGUAGUUAAUUCUAAGUUUCAGAGAUGGUUUAGAUUAUUCCAAAGAGAAUUGCAAACCAGCGAUAAUAUCCAUAAAACUAAUAUUUGGGGGCAUCAGUGAAUUCAUUCUUAUUAACCUUUUUCUGCACAAUGUUUUAUAUUUACAUACAUCAGAGGAUUGGUUGUGGCUUAGACUCAGCUUCUGAUUGCUUUGGAAUUACACAGUAAAAUCAUUUAUAAAGUGCCCCAGCAAUUUUUGUACCAUGGAUCAUAAUUGUUUAUUUUAAGUCACAAAUAAUAAUACCUUUCUGCAAUUUUGGUUGGGUGUUUAACAGUAUGAUGGUAUUUAACACCAUCAGAGGUAAAAAAUAAUAAAUAAAAAAUGCCUUAUGAUGAAGUUACUAGGUGAGCUAUUUUAUAACACUCAUUAAACCACCUUAGCUGAUGUUAAAAACAUCCUUUCUGGGAGUAGAAAGCAUCCUUAUAGCAACUGGAAUUAUACAAAAUGUAAGAAAAAAUCUAAUCCCUUGCCUAAAACUAGGACUAGAGAAUAGCAAAGCUUGAUUAAAUAUCUACUACAAUUCAGACCCAACUCCGUGAAGUGGCACUCUAAGCUUAUAACCACUACAGUUCAUUGUUGUGGUUAUAGAGUCAGGAAUGUUUGCAUAUAUCCCAACAUUUCAA